Molecule: ribosomal RNA, 468 nt
Filed under: uncultured bacterium
Lineage: Bacteria
Description: partial 16S ribosomal RNA
Rfam family: Bacterial small subunit ribosomal RNA
Source: RNAcentral
GAUGAACGCUGGCGGCGUGCUUAACACAUGCAAGUCGAACGGUGAAGGCGGAGCUUGCUCUGCUGGAUCAGUGGCGAACGGGUGAGUAACACGUGAGCAAUCUGCCCCUGACUCUGGGAUAAGCGCUGGAAACGGCGUCUAAUACUGGAUACGAGCUGCGAAGGCAUCUUCAGCAGCUGGAAAGAACUUCGGUCAGGGAUGAGCUCGCGGCCUAUCAGCUUGUUGGUGAGGUAACGGCUCACCAAGGCGUCGACGGGUAGCCGGCCUGAGAGGGUGACCGGCCACACUGGGACUGAGACACGGCCCAGACUCCUACGGGAGGCAGCAGUGGGGAAUAUUGCACAAUGGGCGAAAGCCUGAUGCAGCAACGCCGCGUGAGGGACGACGGCCUUCGGGUUAUAAACCUCUUUUAGCAGGGAAGAAGCGAAAGUGACGGUACCUGCAGAAAAAGCGCCGGCUAACUACGUG